This is a small nucleolar RNA of Hibiscus syriacus, 104 nucleotides long. NCBI's taxonomy places the organism in Eukaryota, Viridiplantae, Streptophyta, Magnoliopsida, Malvales, Malvaceae. The record is from RefSeq and is a predicted model, not a curated record.
AAACCAUGCAUCGAACAUUUGCACAACACCUUAAAUUGCUCCCAUAUUUUAAAAAGGUUUCCAUCCUCCAUUUGCUUGAAAGAUGUGAGAUCAUUCCUGAAUUU